UACGUAGGCAGCGAGCGUUGUUCGGAAUUACUGGGCGUAAAGAGUGUGUAGGCGGUGCUCCAAGUCUGUUGUGAAAUCUCCCGGCUUAACUGGGAGGGUGCGGCGGAAACUGGAGUGCUCGAGUGUGGGAGAGGUAAGCGGAAUUCCUGGUGUAGCGGUGAAAUGCGUAGAUAUCAGGAGGAACACCUGUGGUGUAGACAGCUUACUGGACCACGACUGACGCUGAGACACGAAAGCGUGGGUAGCAAACAGG
Molecule: ribosomal RNA, 253 nt
Filed under: uncultured bacterium
Lineage: Bacteria
Description: partial 16S ribosomal RNA
Rfam family: Bacterial small subunit ribosomal RNA
Source: RNAcentral